Molecule: transfer RNA, 68 nt
Filed under: Pyrophorus divergens (Brazilian luminescent click beetle)
Lineage: Eukaryota; Metazoa; Arthropoda; Insecta; Coleoptera; Elateridae
Description: tRNA-Trp
Source: RNAcentral
AAGGAUUUAAGUUAAACAAACUAGUAACCUUCAAAGUUACCAAUAAAGACCUUAUCCUUUAAGCCUUA